GCCUGGUUGGCUCAGUCUGUGGAGCAUGUGACUCUUGAUCUCAGGGUUAUGAGUUCAAGCCCCACAUUGGGUG
This 73-nucleotide transfer RNA is filed under the name Canis lupus familiaris (dog). It matches the Rfam family "tRNA". From Rfam's summary of the family: Transfer RNA (tRNA) molecules are approximately 80 nucleotides in length. Their secondary structure includes four short double-helical elements and three loops (D, anti-codon, and T loops). Further hydrogen bonds mediate the characteristic L-shaped molecular structure. tRNAs have two regions of fundamental functional importance: the anti-codon, which is responsible for specific mRNA codon recognition, and the 3' end, to which the tRNAs corresponding amino acid is attached (by aminoacyl-tRNA synthetases). tRNAs cope with the degeneracy of the genetic code in two manners: having more than one tRNA (with a specific anti-codon) for a particular amino acid; and 'wobble' base-pairing, i.e. permitting non-standard base-pairing at the 3rd anti-codon position. Lineage: Eukaryota; Metazoa; Chordata; Mammalia; Carnivora; Canidae. RNAcentral also lists the same sequence under 2 other names. The record is from Rfam by way of RNAcentral.